RNAcentral lists this long non-coding RNA (1119 nucleotides) under Lepisosteus oculatus (spotted gar). Its description in RNAcentral is "lncRNA (ENSLOCG00000021845.1)". The record is from RNAcentral. Lineage: Eukaryota; Metazoa; Chordata; Actinopteri; Semionotiformes; Lepisosteidae.
GGGGGGAGAAGUCUGUCUGGGGCCCGGACCACGUGGGGCCUGAGCUGCAGGCUGCUCCGGAUGACCUAUGACCCCACCCCCGCCUAACCCCAUGCCCCGUUCUUGUCCGCCGCCAGCUGCAGAACUCCAGGACGGUGAUCCAGGAGCGGGACCGCGUGAUCCGGGAGCUGCAGGAGAAGGUGGCGUUCCUGGAGGCAGAGAACCGGGAGAUGCACGACCGGAUGGACUUCCUGCUGUCCAGCCAGAAUCCCGAGGCCCGCGCGCCGGAGCCGAGCUCUCGGAUCGUGUACAGCAAGCCCCUGGUGCCCAGCUCGGCCGGCAAGCCGCUGCCCCACAUCAGGGUGGUGGAGAUCAGGUCGUGACCCUCGGCGCCCAGCAGCCGGGGAGGGUGAGGAGGGGGCGUGGCCACGACUGGAGAAGCACGACACAGAUCUCCCCCCCCCUGGGGGGGGGCGUGGAGGGCGGGGCAGGGGGCGGAGGAGAGACCGAAGGAUCCGCAGAAGGGGGGGAUCUGGGAUUUCCAGAAGAGACGGACAGGGUGGGCGUGUCCCUCUCCAAGGGGGGACCCCUCAUCUCCCCCCCAACUAAGGUCUGACCCCAGACACGACGGCUCCCUUUUUAUUCGCCACCCCGGGGUGCCCGGUUUGUGACGCAGGCCAGCGUCUGAGCGUCCUCUUUGAGCUGGGCGCGCGAGUAUCCGAAGGGCCUUGCCCGGGACAAUAUCCACAACACGUCGUCGGCGCUCUGGUGUCACUUUUGAAUAAUGGUUUCUGUGCGUCUAGCGCAGUUCUCUAGGCCUGAGCCGGAUCCCUCGGUCAGUUGUCGUUUUGAUCGCGUGCUGAACGCCCGCAGGCCGGAGUGUAAGUCAGGGGCUUUCAUCGCAGUCACGGCCGCUAAUUCAUCACUUCCUUCCUUAAAGUGGGGCUCGUGUGGCGUUUCCAGCCAGGAGCUCUCUGGUCUGAUUACCAUCGCUGAGCCGCAGGCGCUGCCUCGGUUCUGACCCAGUUCUGAGUUCUGUGGGACUGUGGGACUCCCUCUUUUUCAGGUUUCAUUCCUGCCCAGCUCCCAGUUACUUAAUGAAACCAGUCCAUGGCUUUAUUGGGCCAGAUCAAGGUGACU